UGGUGCAAAAGAAAUUGCGGUUUUUGCCAUUAAAAGUAAUGGCAAAAACGGCAAUUACUUUUGCACC
This 67-nucleotide microRNA precursor is filed under the name Gorilla gorilla gorilla (western lowland gorilla). Its description in RNAcentral is "miRNA (ENSGGOG00000033301.2)". The record is from RNAcentral. Lineage: Eukaryota; Metazoa; Chordata; Mammalia; Primates; Hominidae.